Molecule: ribosomal RNA, 459 nt
Filed under: uncultured bacterium
Lineage: Bacteria
Description: partial 16S ribosomal RNA
Rfam family: Bacterial small subunit ribosomal RNA
Source: RNAcentral
CCUACGGGAGACAGCAGUGAGGAAUAUUGGUCAAUGGACGAGAGUCUGAACCAGCCAAGUAGCGUGAAGGAUGACUGCCCUAUGGGUUGUAAACUUCUUUUAUAUGGGAAUAAAACAGGGUAUGCAUACCCUCUUGUAUGUACCAUAUGAAUAAGGCUCGGAUAACUCCGUUCCAGCAGCCGCGGUAAUACGGGGGAUCCGAUCGUUAUCCGGAUUUAUUGGGUUAAAAGGGAGCGCAGGCGGAGGUGCAAGUCAGCGGUAAAAUUGCGGGGCUGAACCCCGUACUGCCGUUGAAACUGCAUCCCUUGAGUGCGCGAGAAGUAGGCGGAAUGCGUGGUGUAGAGGUGAAAUGCAUAGAUAUCACGCAGAACUCCGAUUGCGAAGGCAGCAUACCGGCGCGCAACUGACGCUCAUGCACGAAAGCGUGGGUAUCGAACAGGAUUAGAUACCCUGGUAGUC